UGCGGGCGCGGUGGAGCCCGGGGCCGGCCUGCUCUCUGUUUUAAAUAUACACCGUGGGCUGCGGGCGCGGUGGAGCCCGGGGACGGCCUGGUGUCCGGGGCCGAGGUGACACCGUGGGCUGGGGGGGCGGUGGAGCCCGGGGCCGGCCUGGUGUCCGGGGCCGAGGUGACACCGUGGGCUGGGGGGGCGGUGGAGCCCGGGGCCGGCCUGGUGUCCGGGGCCGAGGUGACACCGUGGGCUGGGGGGGCGGUGGAGCCCGGGGCCGGCCUGGUGUCCGGGGCCGAGGUGACACCGUGGGCUGGGGGGGCGGUGGAGCCCGGGGCCGGCCUGGUGUCCGGGGCCGAGGUGACACCGUGGGCUGGGGGGGCGGUGGAGCCCGGGGCCGGCCUGCUCUCCGGGGCCGAGGUGACACCGUGGGCUGCGGGCGCGGUGGAGCCCGGGGCCGGCCUGCUCUCCGGGGCCGAGGUGACACCGUGGGCUGCGGGCGCGGUGGAGCCCGGGUCCG
RNAcentral lists this long non-coding RNA (505 nucleotides) under Homo sapiens (human). Its description in RNAcentral is "HSALNT0295916". The record is from RNAcentral. Lineage: Eukaryota; Metazoa; Chordata; Mammalia; Primates; Hominidae.